Molecule: ribosomal RNA, 406 nt
Filed under: bacterium enrichment culture clone ALO1_GLFRUDD03G52XU
Lineage: Bacteria
Description: bacterial SSU rRNA
Rfam family: Bacterial small subunit ribosomal RNA
Source: RNAcentral
GAGUUUGAUCGUGGCUCAGAUUGAACGCUGGCGGCAUGCCUUACACAUGCAAGUCGAACGGCAGCACGGGAGCUUGCUCCUGGUGGCGAGUGGCGAACGGGUGAGUAAUGCAUCGGAACGUAUCCUGGAGUGGGGGAUAACGUAGCGAAAGUUACGCUAAUACCGCAUAUUCUGUGAGCAGGAAAGCGGGGGACCUUCGGGCCUCGCGCUCUUGGAGCGGCCGAUGUCGGAUUAGCUAGUUGGUGAGGUAAAGGCUCACCAAGGCGACGAUCCGUAGCAGGUCUGAGAGGAUGAUCUGCCACACUGGAACUGAGACACGGUCCAGACUCCUACGGGAGGCAGCAGUGGGAAUUUGGACAAGUGGGGGCAACCCUGAUCCAGCCAUGCCGCGUGAGUGAAGAAGGCC